AUCAUUUAUAUUUUUACAGUAUUUUAAAUAGUAAAAUUGACCAAAUAUAUAGGCAAUUUUUAAAACUUACAACUUUUGUAAAACGAAAUUUUACCAAAUGUUAAUUGACUUUUUUGACCACCGAUUUUUUUUUUUGGCACACCUAAUGACAAUUUUUAUAAAAAUAUAAUAUUAUCAAACUAAUCCUUACUAAAAAUAAUGCAAAUAAUUUCUAGUCUAACCAUGAUGACCAAUUAAAAAUAGUUCACGGAUACUCUUGAUUAGGCUAUGGUGAGUCGAUGACGACUUAAAAUAGUCCAUAAAAGAAGAACUCUUGUUCAAUAGUGAAGAUGUUAACAUGCUAUUCCUCCAUAGACACAAUCCAUUAAGUUUUUUUCCCCAAUUGUUGGAGGCAAAACAUCACUCUCGGGAAUAGGACAUUGAUUCCAACCCCUUUAAAAUGUUUUUUUCAUUAGUAAGGAUAAAAUGUUUUUUUUUUCAUUAAUAUGGAUACCUUCUUGUCGAAACUAAAAUAUUUUUAACUUUCAAGCAUAUCUAGAGCUUCAUGGAAUUGACAUGCUCUAUUAAUUAAUCAUUAAUGUAUUUACAUCCAUAUUAAUUAUACUAAAGAUAAUUAAGUUAAAAUAACAAUUUUUG
Molecule: long non-coding RNA, 636 nt
Filed under: Citrus x clementina
Lineage: Eukaryota; Viridiplantae; Streptophyta; Magnoliopsida; Sapindales; Rutaceae
Description: Citrus clementina (C. clementina) long non-coding RNA (CCLE_LNC002633)
Source: RNAcentral